Molecule: long non-coding RNA, 5921 nt
Filed under: Sus scrofa (pig)
Lineage: Eukaryota; Metazoa; Chordata; Mammalia; Artiodactyla; Suidae
Description: lncRNA (ENSSSCG00000059317.1)
Source: RNAcentral
CUGUUAGAAAACUGUGGUCAGUUUGUAAAUGACUUGGGAAACACGAACAAAACCAUUGAAGACUUGGUUUUACCAUAUCAAUCAUAACUUUUAAGACGUAAGGGACUAUGCAUUCUUUAAAAAAUACUAUUCGUACACAUAAAACAUACCUACUAAUCAUUCAUCCAUUAAUUACACAAAUAAUUUAAAAUCAUCUUUAAUACAUAACUAUUUUGUAGAAACUUAGCACUUAUUAUAUGUAACGUGUUCAUUUUCAGAUUUAAUUACCUAACUUCUAAGUUUCACAAGUAAAAAACUAAGAUACAGAGUAAUUCACUCAGAGAAGUAUCACUUGAGUUUUAAAUAGAAUCAAGGACUUCAUAACUUUAGUCUCUGCAUUACGUAACAGAAAUGAUUCUUAAAUUGCUUACUCCUUGGGGAUAGAAAACAUUGUUUUACCUUUAAAGAAUUUUCUUCAACUGUUGAAGGAAUGGUUUUCUUCUUAUCUCUCAAAAAUUCAUAGAGAUGAGCAGCUUUUCAUUAAGAGAAAGUCUUGGGGGUGGAACACUGAUCUACCUGUUAUAGCAUAGUUCCUAGUAGUUCUUUGAAGCUCUGAGCAGGGGUCUCAGUACUUCACAUCUUAUCCUCAUCCAUUCACAAUCAUAAGAAAUUCUGACAUAGUUGAAGAUUUUAAAGAAAUAAUUUAAUAUUUUCAUACUUUUGGCAGAGAUAAUGAUAAAGUAAUUACUGUAGAGAGAAACAAUGCCAGCAUUUCAUUGAAAAUCCAGUAACAAAUUGCAAAUGGAGCCUAAUAAACAUCAUUUAUUUCCUUCCAGUUUAAAAGUCCUAUAAGUUCCAAAAGCCAAUUGUCUUUUAAUCCUUAUUUCAAAAACAUAUAUUUUGUAAUUCUUAGUACCAAUCCCUACAUUGGUGAAUAACAUGAUUUUAGAUUUGAGCCCAUUUCCUACCUCAGGCUUAACAUUGAAAGUCACAUUUUUUUAAUAGAAUAAUUCAUUUUAGAGUAGUAGGCAGUCAAGCAAUCAUGUUAGCUACUGCUAUUUAUUAAUAAUAAAUGUAAAAUACCAAGAGAAAAUACACAUUCUUAAGUUAAUCAGACAAUGUGGCUUCAGGAAUUACAACACAAAAUCUUUCAGCUGUUUCUUGAAAACACUGGAGCAUCAAGUUCAAUAUUGAUUGAAAAAUCUGUAAGCACAGUCAUGGAAUACACAAUGAAUCUCUUUGUAGAGUCUACACAGUGAAUGCAUUUUAUGUCAAUGUAUGUACACGUAUAGCACAAGGAAUCUGUAUCAAGGAAAAUGGGACUUGUGGUAAGGACUUGCUCAAGUGAGCUAAAUUCCUUUCAAGUACCUGGCUCUCAAUAAUGCUGUGUGAUUUAAUGUUGCUCCUCUUGAUCCAUUCACUUCUAUGUGACAGAAACUUCUAAGGAAGGUCAGUGGUAUAUCUAAGAGAUUAUGACAGCUGAGUUAUGGUUUCAAACAAGUUUGGCUUUUACAUUAGCUUAGAAAAUGAAAUAGCUUUUGAUUUAUAGUCAUCUUACAUUAAUAUGCAUUUCUUUCUUGUAUUUCACUUGAAAUUAGGCAGGCCAGGUUUAUACAUUCCACAUUACUUCUUAAGGUGCCUACUGAAUUACAUAUUUUAAACAAAUCAUUCUGACUCAGCUGACAUCAGGUACAAACAAUGAGAGAGAAUGAGUAUGAGGCUCUGAAUUUCCCUAGCUAUUAAUAGCAACAUUAAAGGCAUGGAGGCCUCUGUAUGAGAGGCAAGUCUAGGUGUAUUUCUCUGUUAAUAAUCUUGUAGCCAACAAAAAUUUUAAAAGGUACCACAUUAGAGAUUCUAUAAUAUCAGUCAUGAGAUUUAUUUUCUAAGUUAUGAUUAAUUUGAAAUAUAAAUUUUCAGAUUUCUGGGUCUUCAUGAAAACAAACCCCAUAUUUCAAUAAAAUGUAGUCUUUCCAUUUCUGGAUGGUCUUAUAAUUUUUCCUUAUUUCCCAAGUUUUUCAUGGUGUACUGGGUAGAAACUUCACAACUCUCUGCACCCUCUUUCACUCUGGAUUAUUUUCAAGGGCACUCUUAACACAGGAUUUGGAGGGAUGAGAAGAGUGUCAACUGAUAGUCUUUCCAUUAUGGUUGACUGCAACUUUUGAGCUUGCAGAGAUAUACUACUAUGGAGUCUCUGAAGUCUAGGUUUUUGUGUGAAAAAAAGAAUGUGCUUUAUAACACAGGGAGACUAACCUACAUUUACUUCACCUCACUCUAUUUACUCUAUAGAAGAUUAUAUCUAAGGUCAUUAAUUCAUUGAUUUAGUUAACAAAUAAAUAUUUGUAAUGUGCCUAUUGUUCUAGGCCAGAAAUUGUCCCAGAAGUUGGGGGAUACAGAAGUGAUUACAACAAUGUCCAUGCCUUCACAGUGCUAGCUUUUUACCACCAAAUUAAGAUGUUAUUAGUAUUAUAUAUGGAAAUAGACUCCAAACACUUAAAUUUCUAUUACCUGGUGAAAUCCCACAAUUUCCUUCUCAUAAAAGGAAGAGAACAUUAGGAGAGAAGGAAUAGUUCUAUGUAUGAAUAAUGGUAGCUGAAAGGAAGGGAAAAUGUCCACAGGCAGCAGUGAUGCUGUAGCACUAGCCUGUGCUUUAUUCAUCAUGAAUGUCCCUUGGUGCAGGGACAUUUUCUUAUAUUUUAGUUCAGAUAGUGACUCAUUUCUCAAAAAACCAGAUGCUUCCUGCAUGCCUAAAAUAUAUUUAUUUGAAUAACAUGGAAUAAAGCAUUUCUUUAUAGUAUUCAGAAUGCUUGGUCUAAAGAAACUAUUUUAAAGACAGAAUUAUGUGGUUUUACAGAGGAAAGAGAAAGGAGACUCUAUAAUAAUAAGAAAAAAAUGACCAGUAAUAAAAUCAGAUCUAUUUUAAAAAUUUCAUGAAGAUAUUCUCACAACCACCUGAAAAUAUUUAAGUGCAACUGAGUUCUUUAUUAAUGAGAAGUUUCAGUUAAUGUUGUAGCAUUAGAAAUGACUUAACUAGAAGCUGUGACCCCCUCUGCAGGAAAAAGAAACUUUCUCUUUGUUAUUGUAGAUUUACACCUGAAUACUCAGCAUUUGUGCUGAUGAUCCUCCCACUAUUCUUGUCUCUUUAGUCAAGCCUUAUUUAAAGAUCAGGUCUAUUCAGGCCUCCGUGCAUUGUUAAUCCAAUCCUGACUGAUCUUCCAGCUCAAUAUGUAUUUCUCUAUGUGUUUCUGUCUUCAUCAUGGUCAUUGAUAUUUAUGAUUACAUUUCAUGUUUCUAUAAACAUUGCUCUGUGCCUGCCAUGUGUUUGAAUUAACAAGCUGUAAGCAAAUGAAUAAGAAAAGCACUUUGCCAUUGAAGAGUUUACAGUUUAGUGCAGUUACUCUUAACUGUAUAUAAGCAUUUGGCUCAAAUAAGGACUUUUGAAAAAACAGAUUCUAAUCCCUCACUUAGUCUGGGUAGAAAGUAUAUCAAGACCUUAAACAAUUUCUCCAUGGACUUUUAUUGCAUCUUUGCAGUUGAUACCCUUGAAAGUGGAAUGUCUGGCCUCAACAACAAGUUUAAAAUAAUGCAAAAAAUAUCACUGUCUGGUUACCACAUAUAGUGGGGUUACAGAUGGGAGAGUGCCUGGCUUUGUGUGGACAGGUCACCUGGCUGAGGAAAGGAUGUUUGAGCUUAAAGAUGAUUGGAAUUAGAUGGUUAGAGCAGGUAGAGAAAGUCAAAGUAUGCAAAAUGCAUAGAGGCAUGAAGUAACUAAUAUUUUAACUUUUCUAGUAUAUAAAAUUUCAAUAGUAGUAUAUGAAUGCAUAUAUCACAUUCUCUUAUAUUAGAAAAUUAUUAGCAUUUGAAAAUGUUAGCCUUUUUAAAAAAAUAAAAUAAAGCAAAACUCAAAGCCAAACCAAGUCAGACCAAACCAACCAAUGACAAACCUUUAGCUUCUGGGAAAUAAGGUGGUUGAUUUCCAUUCAUACAUUUUUUGUUUGUUUGUUUUGUCUUUUGUCUUUUCAGGGUGGCACCCAUAGCAUAUGGAGGUACCCCGGGAAAAGGAGCCUGGGAUUUUAGGAAUUCAUACAAUCUCUGCCUUAUGUGAGCCUACAGAAUAGGAGAAGCUCUGAGCCUGGUGCCUGACCUGGAAUGGCAUGGACCAUGUAGGGACCUGGGCUAACCCCUGGUAGAGGAAUGGGACUCAGUGUGGAGGAGAAACUUGGACCUGUCUGAAUAGAGCUUCAGCAAGCAUGCACAAUAGUCUUGGACUGGCAGCCCCAGCCAGUAGUUUCACAGAAGCAGCACAAACUACUGGAUAGGGUUGGGGAGGAGUGAUAUGUGCCUAGGCUGCUUACCGUACAACUACAGGGACACCAUGUAAGAUCAUUCUCAAGGGACAACUCUUAUCCAACCUCUGCUUAAAAGACCCAGACAGAGCCCUGUGGAAGGAUGAGUAUGACCAGGCCUCCCCUGUGGCCUCUCUGGGGCCAUCCAAAUCCCUUGGGCUACAUAGAAGGAUAGGAUAUGGAUUCCAACAUCCUGAGUUCAAAUCAUGGCCCCCUCCCUGAUCAGCUCUGUGAAGAAACAAGUUUGUACCUUGGCUCUGAUAUCAAUAAUUAUUCCUUUAGACUUCAUUAUCCUCAAUCAAAAGAAGACUAUUUUACUGUUCAUACUCAUUGACUUCUAUCAUCUUGUGAUAACCAGUCAGGGUCUGAUUAACCUGUGUGUAUAUUAGCAAAUCUCUUGACAUACAUUCCUUUUUCACUAUCUUUGCUAUCUACUUAGUGGAAAUCCUAUAAAUAUUAAUUAUUAUUUAAUUGUCAAUCAUCUGAAAUUCAGAACAAACUCAAGCCAGUAUCAUAAAAAGGCUCCCUAAGAAAAAGAGCAAAGUAACCAGGAUCUCAAGAGACAGCUGUUCACAAUUAUUCCUUUCAAGUGGUAGAAAUACACCGAACAGUUAAAUUGUUAGUUAAGAUAUUUAAAAUAGCAAUAACUAUGUAAAAUAUGACUGAAACUUGAGAACUAGAAGUUCUCUAAUUGCUAUCUCCAAAUACCAUGGAUUAUUAAGAGACAGUUUCUUAGUAUGAGGGUAGUGCUUGAAUUUUAAAAUUCAUGAAUGUUGAGUCUUUUAAAUUUUCAGUUUCAACUAAAGUAUUUCUUCUAUUAAAUCAUAUAAAAUGCAACUGAAGAGGAAGAAAACCCUGGGUUCACAAUCUAAGAGUUUGAAAGAACCUCUUCAGCAUUAUAGGUAGGAAAAGCAAACAUGAAAGAAACUAAUCCAAUAAUUCAGUGGAUCCUCACAUUUCAAUUGGAAAGAACCAAAUUUGACAUCCACACUGUCAUUUUCAGAGGUUUAACAAUAGGCAAGUUAUCCUAUCUUGCUGGGCAUCAGUGUCCCCAUCUCUAUGACUGAAAUGACACAGUGCUUGUACCUGGCAUAUUUUAGGAAUUCAAAAUAAUUGUUUGACAAUAUCAUCCUUUUCACUAAAUUAUAAGGUUGAUAUGAAUUUGAGGUCAAAAUUAUAUGAUUAGGCAAUUUUAAAAUACCCAAACUUUCUGGAAUAUAUAUUUACCUUGGCAUAUUCAUUUUUAAGUGAUUCAUUGUCAUCACUAAAGAGAAAGCCGGAUCAUUCAAAUAAAGAUAAAUCUAAGAAGAGAAUCAAAGUUCUGACUUUAUUACUUUUCUGAACUGGUUUCAUGUAAAGGAAAAGGGACCUUGAAGCACUUUUGCUAAAGUAUUAAUCACAAGAUUUAGGAGUUCCCAUUGCAGCUCAGUGGUUAAUGAACCUGAUUAGCAUCCAUGAGGAUGCAGGUUCGAUCCCUUGCCUCAGUCAGUGGAUUAAGGAUUCGGCAUUGCCAUGAGCUGUGGUGUAGGUCACAGAUGCAGCUUGGAUCCCGCAUUGCUGUGGCUGUGGUGUAGGCCGGUGGCUACGGCUCCAAUUGGA